GCCUGGGUAGCUCAGUUUGUUGAGCUCCCGACUUUGGCUCAGGUCAUGACCUCAUGGUUCAUGGGUUCGAACCCCACUUCAGGCU
RNAcentral lists this transfer RNA (85 nucleotides) under Felis catus (domestic cat). It matches the Rfam family "tRNA". From Rfam's summary of the family: Transfer RNA (tRNA) molecules are approximately 80 nucleotides in length. Their secondary structure includes four short double-helical elements and three loops (D, anti-codon, and T loops). The record is from Rfam by way of RNAcentral. Lineage: Eukaryota; Metazoa; Chordata; Mammalia; Carnivora; Felidae.